Molecule: ribosomal RNA, 370 nt
Filed under: uncultured organism
Description: bacterial SSU rRNA
Rfam family: Bacterial small subunit ribosomal RNA
Source: RNAcentral
CGUAGGUGGCGAGCGUUGUCCGGAAUUACUGGGCGUAAAGCGUGCGCAGGCGGUUUUGUAAGACAGAUGUGAAAUCCCCGGGCUCAACCUGGGACCUGCAUUUGUGACUGCAAGGCUAGAGUACGGUAGAGGGGGAUGGAAUUCCGCGUGUAGCAGUGAAAUGCGUAGAUAUGCGGAGGAACACCGAUGGCGAAGGCAAUCCCCUGGACCUGUACUGACGCUCAUGCACGAAAGCGUGGGGAGCAAACAGGAUUAGAUACCCUGGUAGUCCACGCCCUAAACGAUGUCAACUGGUUGUUGGGUCUUUACUGACUCAGUAACGAAGCUAACGCGUGAAGUUGACCGCCUGGGGAGUACGGCCGCAAGGUUG